This 2839-nucleotide ribosomal RNA is filed under the name Candidatus Woesearchaeota archaeon. RNAcentral describes it as "bacterial LSU rRNA". It matches the Rfam family "Archaeal large subunit ribosomal RNA". The record is from RNAcentral. Lineage: Archaea; Nanobdellati; Candidatus Woesearchaeota.
AUAAAGCUAAUAAAAAUGCUAUUAGGUGGAUGACUAGGCUCAAUUGCUGAUGAAGGGCGUGACAAGCGACGAUAUGCUCUGGGGAGCUGCACGUAAGCUUUGAUCCAGAGAUGCCCUAAUGCGACUUCAGCAUCAAAUCCGUAAGGAUGGGGAACGCAGGGAAUUGAAACGUCUUAGUACCUGCAGGAAAAGAAAUCAAUUGAGAUGCUGUGAGUAACAGCGAGCGAAAACAGCAUAAGGCAAACUGAAUCCUUUGUUGAAAGGCAAAGGAGAUGUGGUGUUAUAGUCCAUGUGUUAAAUUCCUAACUUGGAAAGUCAAAGUUGCCUGGAAAGGCGCGCGAUAAAGUGUGAUAGCCACGUAGACGUAACUGGGAAGGAGCUAGCAUGGUAACUUGAGUAUUGUUAACCGGAUACUUAACAAGAAUUUAGGAGGCAUCAACUUCUAACCUUAAAUACAUAUUGAGUCCGAUAGCGAACUAGCGUACAGUGAUGGAAAGUUGAAAAGAACCCUUAGCGGGAAGUAAAAAGAACCUGAAACCUAAUAGCAAUAGUCGGACACGGCGAUGAGUUGUGUCAUACGUUUCGAAUAACGUGCCAGGGAGUUUAUUCGAGUGGCAAGGAUAAUUCUUAAAAGGAAGAAUUCAAAGCGAAAGCAACAGGCUUGCAAUUUAUGAGAAGCGAGGUACGAAAGUGCCUGAAGUCACUUGGAUAUGACCCGAAGCCAGACGAUCUAGCCCAUAGUAAGGUGAAGUUCCGGUAAAACGGAAUGGAGGCCUGUAGGGGUUCUACGAGCAAGUGUUCCUCUAACUUAGGGCUAGGGGUAAAAAGCCAAUCGAGUCUGGCGAUAGCUGGUUCCUACCGAAAUUGGCCGCAGUCAAGCCUUAGGCGAGAUGAUUAGAAGGGUAGAGCUACGGAUUAGGGGCUUAGGUCUCGAAAGAGAUCGGCCCUUUGCCCAACUCCGAAUAAUCUAAUAUCAAAGAACCUAAGAGACGGGGAGUGUUGGGGUAAGCCUCACUUCCGAGAGGGGAACAACCCAGACUGUAGUUAAGGUCCCAAAAUAUCGACUAAGUGUUAACGGGUGAAAGGCGUCCAUUGUCAGAGACAGCGAGGAGGUUGGCUCAGAAGCAGCCACCCUUUAAAAAGUGCGUAACAGCUUACUCGUCAAGACAAUGGGCCCUGAAAAUGGACGGGGCUAAGUCGAUUACCGAUACUACAGACUGCUCAACGAGCAAGUAAUAGGUAGGUGUUCUGUGAGGACAGAAGUACCUUCGAGAGUUGGUAUAGACCUCAUAGAAAUAAGAAUCCUGGCAGUAGUAGGAUCAUAGAUGAGUUAGAAUCUCUUCCACUGAAAGGGCAAGGGUUCCUUGGCAAUGCAGAUCAGCCAAGGGUUAGUUGGUCCUAACCAAACUCAUAAAUUGAGUCGCAGGAAAGGGCAAGAGGUUAAUAUUCCUCUACUAUCUAAGUAUGUGCGGCAACGCAAUUUCUGUUUCUGACGUUUCGGAGUAGAUUAACACAGAUAGCCAUUUGUGUCAACCACCAUAAAUCAAGGGAGUAUCUUAAUGAUGAGAACUUGAUUAAAGAUGGGAUGAGUACUUCUUUGGAGUAUUUAGUUGAUAUCUGGAACCCAUGAAAAAGGAACAGAAGCAAAUCUUAGAUAACCAUACCCAGAACCAGCACAGGUGCCCCUAGGUGAGAAGCCUAAAGUGUAAAGGGAUAAUCCAAAUGAGGGAAUUCGGCAAAUUAGCUCCGUACCUUCGGUAUAAGGAGUCCCUGCUGUUGUUACGCAAGUUGUGACAGCAGGGUGCAAUAACAAAGGGAGCCCGACUGUUUAACAAAAACUUAACUGGCUGCCAGCCCGUAAGGGUGUGUAUAGCCAGUGACGCCUGCCCAGUGCCAGUACUUCAAACUCGGUUUCAACUGAGCUAAGAGCUGGUAAACGGCGGGGGUAACUAUAACUCUCUUAAGGUACCGUAAUACCUUGUCGAUUGAAUGUCGACUUGCAGGAGUGGCGUAACGAGGUUCCCGCUGUCCCCAAUUGGCCCCCUCCGAACUCUCUAUCCUGGUGCAGAGGCCAGGGAUCUCCAGUGGGAAGUGAAGACCCCGUGAAACUUUACUGUAGCUUAUUGUUGCGACGUGGGUCUUAUUGUGUAGUGUAGGUGGUAGUUUACCAAUCGCAAGAUUGAAUAAACGACAAUGAAACACCACUCUUCGAGACUUACGUUGCUAACUCAGCAAUGAGGACAGCAGUAGGUAGACAGUUUGGCUGGGGUGGCACCCUGCUGAAAAGAUAUCAGCAGGGCCCAAUGGUUGGCUCAAGUGGGUCAGUAAUCCACUGUAGAGUGCAAGGGCAAAAGCCAGCCUGACAGGAUGACUUAUAUGAGGGCAUCCUGAGUAGAAAUACUGGCCUAGCGAACCUCUAUGUCCUCCUUGAUGGGGGCUAGAGAUGACCGAAAAGUUACUCCGGGGAUAACAGAGUCGUCCCGCCCGAGAGUUCACAGAUGGAAAAAUUUAUUUUUUCCUCAGAACAUAUCGACGGCGGGGCUUGCUACAUCGAUGUCGGCUUUUCCUAUCCUGGCUGUGCAGAAGCAGCCAAGGGUGCGGGUGUUCACCGAUUAAAAGGGAUCAUGAGCUGGGUUCAGAACGCUGUGAGGCAGUUUGUUUAAUAUCUACUGGAGAUGUUGAUGUCAGAAAGGAAGGACUUCUUAGUACGAGAGGAACGGAAGUUCGGCGCCUCUGGUCCACCUGUUAUCUAGCAAGGUAAGCAGGGCAGCUACGCGCUAAGGGAUAAGUGCUGAAUGCAUCUAAGCACGAAACCCCCCUUGAAAAGAGACAUCUUAGA